Molecule: ribosomal RNA, 89 nt
Filed under: Salmonella enterica subsp. enterica serovar Brunei
Lineage: Bacteria; Pseudomonadati; Pseudomonadota; Gammaproteobacteria; Enterobacterales; Enterobacteriaceae
Description: partial 16S ribosomal RNA
Rfam family: Bacterial small subunit ribosomal RNA
Source: RNAcentral
UUUAAUUGAAGAGUUUGAUCAUGGCUCAGAUUGAACGCUGGCGGCAGGCCUAACACAUGCAAGUCGAACGGUAACAGGAAGCAGCUUGC